AUUGAACGCUGGCGGCAGGCUUAACACAUGCAAGUCGAGCGGGGGAAGGUAGCUUGCUACCGGACCUAGCGGCGGACGGGUGAGUAAUGCUUAGGAAUCUGCCUAUUAGUGGGGGACAACACCUCGAAAGGGAUGCUAAUACCGCAUACGUCCUACGGGAGAAAGCAGGGGACCUUCGGACCUUGCGCUAAUAGAUGAGCCUAAGGCGGAUUAGCUAGUUGGUGGGGUGAAGGCCUACCAAGGCGACGAUCUGUAGCGGGUCUGAGAGGAUGAGCCGCCACACUGGGACUGAGACACGGCCCAGACUCCGACGGGAGGCAGCAGUGGUGAAUAUUGGACAAUGGGGGGAACCCUGAUCCGGCCAUGCCGCGUGUGUGAAGAAGGCCUUAUGGUUGUAAAGCACUUUAAGCGAGGAGGAGGCUACUUUAGUUAAUACCUAGAGAUAGUGGACGUUACUCGCAGAAUAAGCACCGGCUAACUCUAUGCCAGCCGCCGCAGUAA
This 501-nucleotide ribosomal RNA is filed under the name uncultured bacterium. RNAcentral describes it as "partial 16S ribosomal RNA". It matches the Rfam family "Bacterial small subunit ribosomal RNA", at positions 30 to 523 of the family's 1533-position model. The record is from RNAcentral.